This 202-nucleotide long non-coding RNA is filed under the name Nicotiana benthamiana. RNAcentral's name for it is "long non-coding RNA (NBEN_LNC040371)". Lineage: Eukaryota; Viridiplantae; Streptophyta; Magnoliopsida; Solanales; Solanaceae. The record is from RNAcentral.
UAUGGUUCCCACAAGAAUGCAAGACAUUCUCUUCUUCUUCCUCCCAUUGAGAGAGAGAGCACAAACUUGUUCUUGCAUAUCAAGUGGAAAAUCAAUCCUCAGAUUUGUCUUGGAUAUCAAGUGAAAGCCAAAACUUCAAGACAAUCUUCAAGAAGGAUCAAGGAGCUUCCAAAGGCAAACCUUGUACAAUCUUCAAGAAGGA